AUGUGCCCAGGAGAUGGUCUCCAGGAGCUGCAAGGGAAGUGGAGGGGCCAGUGGACAGGGCAGCCAGCAGAGGCACAGAGCAGUGACGUCAUAGGCAAAUGCUCCAAUCAGGGAGCAGGAGGGUCAGCACUUUACACCACUCACCCCAGGAGGCCCACCCGCAGCCAGCAGCUGUCCUGGGUUCCUGAUGCUGCCGUGGGCUCCAGGCUCCUCUGCUGUGUGACUCUCCUCCUUCUGGGAGCAGGGGCGGUCCAUGCUGGGGUCAGUCAGGACCCCAGAUUCCAGGUCGUGAGGAGAGGACAGAGCGUGACACUGAAAUGUACUCAGGAUCCUGGUCUUGACCGCAUGUACUGGUACCGACAAGACCCGGGACACGGGCUGAGGCUGAUCCAUUACUCAGCUGGUGCGCACACUAGCGAGCCAGGAGACAUGUCCGACGGGUACAGUGUCUCCAGAUCAAACACAGAGAACUUCCCUCUCACGCUGGAGUCUGCCAACCGCUCCCAGACAUCUGUGUACUUCUGCGCCAGCAGUUAUUCCAUGGUGCUGCACGGCCACCUCCUUUCUGUGCAUAAAAGCAGAUGA
This is a non-coding RNA of Bubalus bubalis (water buffalo), 585 nucleotides long. NCBI's taxonomy places the organism in Eukaryota, Metazoa, Chordata, Mammalia, Artiodactyla, Bovidae. The record is from the annotation of a RefSeq genome assembly.